Molecule: unclassified non-coding RNA, 400 nt
Filed under: soil metagenome
Description: partial contains 5.8S ribosomal RNA, internal transcribed spacer 2, and large subunit ribosomal RNA
Rfam family: 5.8S ribosomal RNA (bases 1-122)
Source: RNAcentral
GAUGAAGAACGCAGCGAAAUGCGAUACUUGGUGUGAAUUGCAGAAUCCCGUGAACCAUCGAGUCUUUGAACGCAAGUUGCGCCUCAAGCCAUUAGGUUGAGGGCACGUCUGCCUGGGCGUCACAUAUCGUUGCCUGAUGCCAGUUUCCUCGUGAUGGGUGACUGUGCAGGGCGAAUGAUGGCUUCCCGUGAGCAUUGUUGCCUCAUGGUUGGUUGAAAAUUGAGUCCUUGGUGGGGAGCGCUGUGAUAGAUGGUGGUUGAGUGACGAACGAGACCCAAUCAUGUGAGACCCCUACCGAAUUUGGCCUUCAUGACCCACAUGCGUCUUUGGAACGCUCAUGACGAGACCUCAGGUCAGGCGGGGCUACCCGCUGAGUUUAAGCAUAUCAAUAAGCGGAGGA